This 346-nucleotide ribosomal RNA is filed under the name uncultured bacterium. RNAcentral's name for it is "bacterial SSU rRNA". It matches the Rfam family "Bacterial small subunit ribosomal RNA", at positions 1 to 334 of the family's 1533-position model. The record is from RNAcentral.
GCCUUGCCAGCCCGCUCAGUCAGUAGUUUGAUCCGUGGCUCAGGACGAACGCUGGCGGCGUGCUUAACACAUGCAAGUCGAGCGGAAAGGCCCCUUCGGGGGUACUCGAGCGGCGAACGGGUGAGUAACACGUGAGCAACCUGCCCCUGACUCUGGGAUAAGCCCGGGAAACUGGGUCUAAUACCGGAUAUGACCACUCUACGCAUGUGGUGGUGGUGGUAAAGUUUUCGGUUGGGGUUGGGCUCGCGGCCUAUCAGCUUGUUGGUGGGUGAUGGCCUACCAAGGCGACGACGGGUAACCGGCCUGAGAGGGCGACCGGUCACACUGGGACUGAGACACGGCCCAG